This is a long non-coding RNA of Caretta caretta (loggerhead turtle), 2075 nucleotides long. RefSeq lists it as uncharacterized. The record is from RefSeq and is a predicted model, not a curated record. Lineage: Eukaryota; Metazoa; Chordata; Testudines; Cheloniidae.
GUCAAAGAAUCCAAAUGCUUUGAGCUCUGUGUGUUGGGUCCUGGCUAAAGGUCUAGCCAGCCACCGUGGAAGACAGACUGUGUGCUUGGAGCAGGAGACUGUUAGUCAGGACUCCUGGAUCCAAUCCUUGUUCUGCCCGACUGUGAGCUACUGAGGAUGCAGAAGUCCCACAAUCACCUUUUGGCGUCAUGGAGAGUUAUGGCUGCUCAGAUAUCUCAGGAUCAUGAAUAAGAAGAGCCUAAGACUAACAAAAAAAAAAAAAAAGGAAAGGAAAGGCACAAAUGAAAAGACAGGCGGGAAAAAGAUUUCUUUCUGACUCUGUACUGCAGAGCUCUCUGCUUCACUGGUUUUGGCUCAGGACACAAGUCUCAGAAGACUUCUGGUGAGCACGAGAGACAAGCCCUCCAAGUUCAUAUGUUCUGGAAGAGUUUAACUGUUGUCAAUUCAAGACGGCCUUGUGCAGCGCCAUCUAAACCACUCAUUCACUGUUAAAAUGAGCUCUCUCCUUCCCAUUCAUCAAGGUACUGGAACAGGAUAUUCAAGUGGGUUCACAGAGGUACCGGUACAUGGUCUCCAAAUGGGCCCUCAAUGGGCCAAAUAUUUUGAAUUGUAUUAGUUUUCAUACUGGCCUGUCUUACAGAAGCUGAGCAGGAGGGAUUCAGUCAUGGUAUCUUCACAGAAGCAGAAUUACAGAGUAAUUAUCCCUCUCGGAUAUAAAUAAAUUAGAGUGAUAAAAAGGGACGAUCCUAGUUAAAUCUAGUUGCAAUUUUCCAACAUGCAUCAACUUCCCCCAACUGAAAAUCAAAAAAAUUUAGCCAAUGUUUUUUGUGUAUUUUAUUCUGUUCCAAUCAUAGCAAGACUGCAGGACAGCAGUAUGUUUGCAUCUGUAAUGAAGGACACUUGAAUUGUAUGAUUAAACCAAACUGGUCCUAUAUGUUUUUUUUUUCCUGUGUGGAAUGCCAUUAUUUCAAUAUUUUUAUUAAAAAAAAGAAAACAAAUGAGUCAUGCAAUGCAGUGAACACAAUCUAAUGAAAAGAAUAUAUAGCUCCACCUUUCUUUUCGCAAUCAACCUGAGAAAACAAUUCAGCUUAUUAAUGUCCAUCAUUUUGGCAUUUUCAGAUGCUUUGUUUUAAAGAUGACAAUCAGACACGCAGAACUAACGUUUUCCUCCAGUCAUUCAGUCACUUAUUUCUUUUGUGUGGGUUUUUGCUUAUUUGUUUGUUUUUGUUUUUAAAGGGGGGCAGCUGCUUUGUGAUCAGCCAAAUGUCAAAAAUCAUUCUUAUCAUAACAAAGCAGAAAAUAAAAUAUUCCAGGUAGCCCAUUGUCAUGGACGUUCUUUAAAAUCACAAAGGGGUAAGAUCUUUAUCUCCAUUCACAUGGGUUAACUUUCAUUAAAGUUAAUGGGAAUUGCACCCCUGCGUCAAAGAAAAUACACCUAGUGCUCUGCCUCUUCUUUUUAGCUUUAGCAUCCAAGGAAGAAACUAUAUAAAGGUGAACUUAUUUAGUGAUCAUCAGCUUCCUCUGGAACACAGGAGUGAUUUUGGAGGUCCUCGGGAUUUUCUCAUUGGCAUUACUCAUGUGCUUCAGUGCUUUUAUAAAUCAGGCACUUACAUUCAAACACAUUAGCCAAACGUCCAGUUUGCAAAGGAAAUACCUAAAGCCCAGUAAGGAUUUCAGUUUGGAAAUCUAGAGGUUAAUUGACAUCUCAGUGACCUCAUAUCCGCAGUAAAAACUUUCAACAUGAAAAAUGUAAUCUCUGUAAAUAUUGUAAUUAAAGACAAAGUUGUUUUCACAAUUGUCGGGAAAAAAGAUUGUAAAAUUACCCAGGAGGGAAGAAAUUAAAGCAAACAGAUCUAUAGGAAAAUACUCUCAUGUUAAAUAUCAAACUAAAAUAAAAACUGCCUAUGAAAAAUUCACAAAUAAACACUCAUAAUGCAUUUGCAAAUGUAUUAUCCUCUCAGGUUUCAUAAUUCUGUGAGAGUGCGAUUACUUAACAGUGGUGCUGUUAUAAAAUUACACAUAGUGGCUGGCAGGUUUUGAAACUACUCCAGAAACCAAAGUCUGACAUUACACAA